UACGUAGGUGGCAAGCGUUGUCCGGAUUUACUGGGCGUAAAGAGCGCGCAGGCGGUCGAUUAAGUCGAAUGUGAAAGCCCCCGGCUUAACUGGGGAGGGUCAUUCGAUACUGAUCGACUUGAAGGCAGGAGAGGGAAGCAGAAUUCCCGGUGUAGUGGUGAAAUGCGUAGAUAUCGGGAGGAAUACCAGUGGCGAAGGCGGCUUCCUGGCCUGUUCUUGACGCUGAGGCGCGAAAGCUGGGGGAGCAAACGGG
This 253-nucleotide ribosomal RNA is filed under the name uncultured bacterium. RNAcentral's name for it is "partial 16S ribosomal RNA". It matches the Rfam family "Bacterial small subunit ribosomal RNA", at positions 524 to 776 of the family's 1533-position model. The record is from RNAcentral.